Molecule: unclassified non-coding RNA, 361 nt
Filed under: soil metagenome
Description: partial contains 5.8S ribosomal RNA, internal transcribed spacer 2, and large subunit ribosomal RNA
Rfam family: 5.8S ribosomal RNA (bases 1-120)
Source: RNAcentral
GAUGAAGAACGCAGCGAAAUGCGAUAAGUAAUGUGAAUUGCAGAAUUUAGUGAAUCAUCGAAUCUUUGAACGCAUAUUGCGCCCGCCAGCACUCUGGCGGGCAUGCCUGUUCGAGCGUCAUUUCAACCCUCAGGCCUCGCGUCUGGCGUUGGGGCGCUGCGGCCCUCCCGCAGGCCCCCAAAUUUAGCGGCGGAUUCCCCGCGGCCCUGAGCGCAGUAGAGAGUAAAAACUUCAACGCUCCGGCGGCCGUGGCGCGGUUCUGCCUCUUUCCCAAUAGCGCCAAUAGCGCCACCCCCAAAAAAGUUGACCUCGGAUCAGGUAGGACUACCCGCUGAACUUAAGCAUAUCAAUAAGCGGAGGA